This 69-nucleotide transfer RNA is filed under the name Haemadipsa crenata. Its description in RNAcentral is "tRNA-Pro". The record is from RNAcentral. Lineage: Eukaryota; Metazoa; Annelida; Clitellata; Hirudinida; Haemadipsidae.
CAGAAUAUAGUUAAUAUAUUAUAAUAUAAAUUUUGGGUAUUUAAGUAUUAUUUUUUUAUAAUUUUCUGU